UCGGGGAUAACAGGCUUAUCUCCCCCAAGAGUCCACAUCGACGGGGAGGUUUGGCACCUCGAUGUCGGCUCAUCGCAUCCUGGGGCUGUAGUCGGUCCCAAGGGUUGGGCUGUUCGCCCAUUAAAGCGGUACGCGAGCUGGGUUCAGAACGUCGUGAGACAGUUCGGUCCCUAUCCGUCGCGGGCGCAGGAAAUUUGAGAGGAGCUGUCCUUAGUACGAGAGGACCGGGAUGGACGCACCGCUGGUGUACCAGUUGUUCUGCCAAGGGCAUCGCUGGGUAGCUAUGUGCGGACGGGAUAAGUGCUGAAAGCAUCUAAGCAUGAAGCCCCCCUCAAGAUGAGAUUUCCCAUUCCGCAAGGAAGUAAGAUCCCUGAAAGAUGAUCAGGUUGAUAGGUCUGAGGUGGAAGUGUGGCGACACAUGGAGCUGACAGAUACUAAUCGAUCGAGGACUUAACCUAAA
RNAcentral lists this ribosomal RNA (460 nucleotides) under Bacillus swezeyi. RNAcentral describes it as "partial 23S ribosomal RNA". It matches the Rfam family "Bacterial large subunit ribosomal RNA", at positions 2468 to 2925 of the family's 2925-position model. The record is from RNAcentral. Lineage: Bacteria; Bacillati; Bacillota; Bacilli; Caryophanales; Bacillaceae.